RNAcentral lists this ribosomal RNA (207 nucleotides) under Verruciconidia persicina. RNAcentral's name for it is "Acremonium persicinum partial large subunit ribosomal RNA". Lineage: Eukaryota; Fungi; Ascomycota; Sordariomycetes; Hypocreales; Bionectriaceae. The record is from RNAcentral.
AAGCACUUAUGACCAGACUUGCGCCGGUUGAUCAUCCAUCGUUCUCGGUGGUGCACUCUGCCGGCUCAGGCCAGCAUCAGUUCGUCCCGGGGGAUAAAGGCUUUGGGAAUGUGGCUCCUCCGGGAGUGUUAUAGCCCACUGUGUAAUACCCUGGGGUGGACUGAGGUUCGCGCUCCGCAAGGAUGCUGGCGUAAUGGUCAUCAGUGA